UACGUAGGUGGCAAGCGUUGUCCGGAUUUACUGGGCGUAAAGAGCGCGCAGGCGGCCGAGUAAGUCGAAUGUGAAAGCCCUCGGCUCAACCGAGGAAGUGCGCCCGAAACUGCAGAGCUUGAGUACCGGAGAGGAUGGCGGAAUUCCCCAAGUAGAGGUGAAAUUCGUAGAUAUGGGGAGGAACACCGGUGGCGAAGGCGGCCAUCUGGACGGAUACUGACGCUGAGACGCGAAAGCGUGGGGAGCAAACAGG
Molecule: ribosomal RNA, 253 nt
Filed under: uncultured bacterium
Lineage: Bacteria
Description: partial 16S ribosomal RNA
Rfam family: Bacterial small subunit ribosomal RNA
Source: RNAcentral